Molecule: transfer RNA, 75 nt
Filed under: Candidatus Shapirobacteria bacterium CG10_big_fil_rev_8_21_14_0_10_48_15
Lineage: Bacteria; Candidatus Shapironibacteriota
Description: tRNA-Arg
Rfam family: tRNA
About the family: Transfer RNA (tRNA) molecules are approximately 80 nucleotides in length. Their secondary structure includes four short double-helical elements and three loops (D, anti-codon, and T loops).
Source: RNAcentral
GCCUCUGUAGCUUAAUGGACAAAGCGACGGUCUUCGGAACCGUUGAUGGGAGUUCGAUUCUCUCCAGAGGCACCU